Non-coding RNA from Podarcis lilfordi (Lilford's wall lizard), 73 nucleotides. The record is from the annotation of a GenBank genome assembly. Lineage: Eukaryota; Metazoa; Chordata; Lepidosauria; Squamata; Lacertidae.
AACUGGAUGGCUCAGUUGGCAGCACAUGAGGCUCUUCAUCUCAGGGCUGUGGGUUUGAGCCCCACAUUGGGUA